ACACACACACCAGCUGAAACAGGAGAAGGAAGCAGAAAAAAUCGAGAAAGAAAGAAAAGAGAAAGGAAAGAGAGAAAGAAGAAAUGAAAGAAAGGAAAAAAAAAAAGGAAAAAAAAAGUAGGGUUGGCUAUUCCAAUUUCAUCUUCAAUUUGACAAAUUUCUUGGUAUGUUUUAUGCUUAAUUUUUUUAGGGUUGCAAUUUAUUGGUUUAAUUUCCAGAUUGAAGGAAAGGAUAUGUUUGCAAGCCAAUAUUUUUGAAUUGGAAAGGCUACUUAUAUUAAGGUAUGAAAUACCAAUUUUGGAAAAAAACCUUGAAUUUUUAUUUGGGUUUUUGAAUUAAUAUAGUUAUCAGGAAUAAUUGUAGAGAUGAAAUACUCAUCUGAAGGCAUGAAUUUAUGGAGCAAGAUGGAAAAUUAAAUUGAUUAAAUUAUAAUUAUUAGUUUUACUAGUUUGGAAGAAGGAAUUAUUUUUAUGUUUGGAGUGAAGAUUAUUUUGAUGAAUUAGAUUUUAAUGAAAGGACUAGAAGGUAGAAUUAGUUCCAACUAUGAAGGAAAUUAAAGAAUAUAUCCAAGUGUCGAGAAGUCGAGCAUUUCGUACUUAAAGUUAAGAAUACUUGGUAGGAUGGUUGUUAAAUUGGUUAUCUUGUAUCAUAUUUCAGGAGAUGACGAGUCCAUUACUUGGUGAGUAGAUAUAAAAACUUAUUUUUCAGAAAUUAAUAUUUAUUAAAUUUAUGUUAGAUUAGAAAAUUUAUUAUUUCAAACAGUUAAUUUGACAGCAUGAUUUUUAGGAUAAAGUGGAUUUAUAGUCAAUUAUUUUAAAGUUAAUUUCAGUUCAGUUAAAUCAUUUUCUUAGCAUGUUACAUUCGUAUUAAAUAGUUCAGCAUAUUUAAAUUAUUUUCUAAAAAUCACCAGAAAGUACCCAGGUGAUUUUACCACAGUCUACACUGGUGUGAAUGUGUUUCCACAGUGUAUGACUAGUUAUGGUGAUUUUACCCGCUCUGCACUACUGUGAAUGUGUUUUCAUAGUGUAUGACCAAAUUAUUAGAUUAUCAAAGAUCUUUGGGACCCACUCUCAUACACACAUAGGCUUUGGGCCGUGUACUAGGGUGAUUAGCCUUUGGGACAGCUCCGCGACGUAUGAACAGAUUAUCAUAUUAUCAUAUUUGAGUGGCUUUGCCUUGUACAUCGAGAUUACUCUGUACAUGAGUAAGGCUAUUCAUUGGGUACCUUUUUGGUGGGAUUUUUCAGUAUUUCUACAGCUUAUUACAUUUCAGAUUAUAGAAUGCAGUUUUUAGAAUAGAGCUUUCAGCUUAUAGUAUUGAUCAGCAACAAUAUUUCAUAGAUUUUCACAGAUGUCAUAGUAUUUAUAUUCGUUACAUUUUACAGUUACUUAUUUAAAAUGAAGAACAAAGAAUUUUAUGAUGUAUUCAUGUUUGAUUGUAAAAACUGUUACCAGAUUUCAGAAUUUCUUAAAGUUUCAAUAGAGUAAGAAUUUUCAGAAAAAAUGUAUAAAUGAGAAAAGUAUACUUAUUUGCAAAUCAUCCACUCACUGAGUUACAAACUCAUGUUUUGCCACCCUUUUUCUGAGCAGAUAGUAGCAGAGUUGAGCAGUCUUGGAGCCUGUCAAUUCACCUAAUUGAGCCACACGUCAGUAGCUGUAUAGCCUACUUUAUCAGAUUAUUAUUUGAUAUCUUUAGUACGUUUGGGGACCUUUGGUUGUAGAGUAAAGUUAUUAUCGAUAUGCUCGUAUUCUAUUUGAAUAGUUUAGAUUUUAAGGGGCUGGUGUACCUUAUUUUAUAUUAUAUGUAUUGAUUUGAGGAAAAUUGGUAAUUUUUCAGGUGAUUUAAGUUCAUAUUUUAGGGGAAAUUCUAUCAAAAUUGUGUUAAAAAUAUUUUUCAGUCAAGCAAGUCAAGUUACAUUGGUGGUAGGUCCAACAUUUAGCUGGUAUCUACCACCGACGCACGACAUGUGUCAGAUCUAUUAGGAUGAUUUGGACAAGUCGUGUCAAUUGGUAUCAGAGCAUGGUUCAGUGGUUGUUAAGCUCGAGUAAUUAAUGAGUUUUUUUUUCGAAUAGUAUGUCAUUGAGAUUAUUAGCGGUGGCAUGGUGGCAGAACUAACAGGCUCCAAUGUGGUAUUUGAAACUCAUAUUGGCCUUGAUAAUGAGGGUACGGCAUCUAAGAAACAAGAAUGAACUUUAUUGAUUUGAGCAUAAUAAGUAUAAGGAUGUUAUUGAGAAUUAUCCGAUGGUAAUGGAGUUGUUAGAGUUGUCAUGUUGGGGCCAUGUUAUAUUUUCUCUAAUAUAUUAAAAGUUGCACUAUAUAUCCAGCAGCCAGUUAAGUGAAAAGUAUAACUUUUCUUCGUAAUGAGAUUUAUUGGGUUAUGAGUUUCUUUUAUGACUAUUAGAGGAAAAUGUCAUAUAGAUGCCUUGGAUGAUAAAUAUGAUCUAAUGUUGAUAUAUGUAAAGUUGGUGAUAUUACGAGAUGAAAUCACGAUUGUUUUGUAAAUCUAAAGGAUUGUGCUAUUAUGAGAAUUAUUGUGGAAAUUAUGAUCAUAUUUAGUAUAUGGAGGAAGAUGCAUAUAUUAGAAAAUCAAGAUGUGGAGAUAUGAUAAGGAAUCUUGUUUAUGACAAAUAAAUAAAUAAUGAAACCAUAUGGAAUGUUGAUUCCCGACAAAAAAUGGUGUUAUUAAAUAUGUUUUACUUUGCGAUUUUGAGUAAAUUAAUGUGAUCGUGGCCUACCUUUUGUUGAUUCUGGAACAAGCAAGUAUCUAGGUUUGUACUUCAACUACUAUUGAAAGAAAGAGGAUUGGAAUUUAUGUUGAUAUGUGUGUAUCUAAUGGGUGAUAUGAAUAAGAAAUAGCAUAAAGAUGAAGAACACGAGAAAAUUAGCAUGAUUAAAUGUUGAGAUCAUACGAUAUUAAGAUAUCGAUUUAUGAUUCCAAAGGGCAUUGUGAAUGGUAGUGCACUAAAUUUAUAAUUAAUGGUACGUCAAAAUAAUAUUGGGAUGAUAUAUUUAGAAUGCAAAGUGAAAUACUCUUCCCAUGACCAUGAUUGGGAUUAUUGUGUUAGAUUAAAAUAGAUUGAAACGACAUGUUAAAUUGUAAGUAUAAGUUGAGUUCUAUGAGUUUUGUGUUGCUAUUGGAUUACUAUCUUUGCAAUUGUGAUUUUGGAUUUCAUGAAUUAAGAAUUUCAUUCUCAUCGAAGUAAUAUGAUAAGGAAUUCAUGGAUGACAUGUUACCUUAUUGUCAAGACUAGGAUUAAAGAAUGUUUAUUUUGGAUAUUAAGGUAACUUAGCUAAGGUUAUUCUAGCAUAAAACUUUUAUAGAUAUUUGAAGAUCAGCAAGGAUUUGGAUUUACAUUGCAUUAUCGAGGUCAUGGCGCUCUAGUGUGGGAAAUAAAUUUGGUGUCGAGAUGAUAUUUAUUAAAAAGGAAAAAUGGAAUCUUGAUGGUAUAUUCUUGUGUGAAAUGUUGCUUGAUAGUUAUAAAGAGCACUAUUUUUGUGAUCCUAAGGAAAUCAGUAUAAUCAAAUGUUUGAAGUUAUACAAUGUGACCAUAAAUAACAAGGUUACAUGAUAUAGUGAAUAGCAAGUGAAGAAAUGUUAUGGUCGUCCUAUAGCCAAAUAAUGUGAUGAGAUAUUUUGGUUAUUAAUUAACUUUGUCAAGGCCAUUUGUGGAUUAUUAUAUUAUAUUACAUACAACCUAUAAGCUUCGAGCUAAAUUUGGAAGUUAAGGUGAAUUUAAUGAAUUUUUAGUAAUGUCAAGUUUGGGAGAUUUUCGAUUGUAUUUUUAGAUCUCUCAAAUAAAGUAUUCCAUUCUUAUCGAGAUCUAUAAGUUUUGGAACAUAUGGAGGAUGUGUUGGAUGGUUUAAAGUCUCAAAUGAUCAUUAAAUUUAAAUUUUAUUAAAUUGUGGAAUGGUAUCUUUAGGUUAUAAUAUUAAUUGAAGGUCUUUGUGCAAUAUACAAGAAGGCUUAUGCAUUGGUAAUAGGUCAAUGGCCUCUUUAUGGAAUAAGAGUAUAGAAUUAUCAUGGAUUAAAUGUUAUUAUUGUAUUUUCAUAGAAAGAAAGAGCACCAAAAUCUUGUGGGUUUAGAAAUGUCAAAAGCUUUGCUAUCAGAUUACAUUAUGAUGAAAUAUGUACUCCCGUAUCUAAAGCUGAUGAGGGCCUGAUUUAUGAUAAUGAUUUAUAUUAAGGUUUAUAAAGUAUGCUGAAGUAAAUGAUGAAUUAUGGAUAUUAUUAUAGAUUGUUAAAGAGGUAUGACUAAGACAUGUUUUAUUGUUGGUUAUAUUGGGGUUGGAGUUAGAAUUUGUGGUGAUAUAUUCUUGCUAGAAACAUCGAUACUUAUAUAUCACCGUAGUUUAAGGUAUAUUUCAAUUUGAAAGGGUUGAAAUGGGUUGAAUUGAAGUUGUGUAUAUAUUAUCAUUGGUUGAUAUAGAAUUAAAAGAAAAGGAACAUCAUACUGAGCUAUCUCAAUUAUUGUUGGGGAUAACUAAAAUUUUAGAAAACCAUUAAUAAUUGAAAAUUUCGCAGAUAAUGUUAAUUUAGAAUUAGAGUAGCUACCCACAAUCAUUUUUUGAUUUGGAUUCCAAAUAUACAGAAUGGAGACAAAAUGGUAUUUGAAUCAUUGUUGAUAGAUCGAUAAAGGUUACAAGAAUUCUUUUCAAAUGAUAUAGUCAGUUCAUGAAAUGGAAUUAUUAAAUUAUAAUUAGAUAAGAUUUCUGUUUAUAUGGAGUUUGAGUAUCUAUCUUUGGCUUAGGGAGUUAUAUAACUAAUUGUGUAGCUUCUUGGAAUGUUAGACACUACGAGGACAAGUUCAGAAGGCAGGUUAUCAACUACAUUUGUAGAACCCCAAAUAAUUCUAGACACCUUAGUGGCAGUAAGAUAUGAAUAUUUGAUAAUUAAAGUAUAUUUCAGAUUUUUAGUCUCAUUUGAGACCCAUUUUCGACAUAGGAAACAUUCGAUUUGGAAAAUGAUAUUUAAAUAAAAGUUGUAGCUCUUUGAGUUAGCUUUCCAAUGCACUUUGAAUUACCUCAAUCGGAUAUCAGGAGAAGAAGUUAUGAUAGAAACACUGAAAGCUGUGCAGUGUCAACCGAACUAUAACCGGUCGACCGAAAUUGCCUGAAAUGAAAAUUCUCGUUUUUCUCUAGAAUUUAAAUAUUUAUUUUCAUCAAUUAUUUUCUCAAAGGGCCACCCACAUUUUUGACAAUAAAAACCCCACUAAAUUGAAGCAUUUAACCUCAAACUUAAAUGGCACCCAUGUUUUCUCUCUUAAAUGAAAUUUGGCCCUUCAUUUGCUUUAAGUUACGGGAUAUUUACCUAUAAAUAGAGACCUCAUUUCACUCAUUUUUUUUCACACCAAAAGCAAGAGCUUUUACAUACUAAAGAAAGAGUUUCCAAGAGAGAAAAAGAGGGAGGAAAACUAUUUUUCCUAGAAGUUUAAGAAGUGUUUUCAAGCAUCAAUUCUCAACAGUUUUCAAACAUCCAAGGAGUACAUUUCUUUCAACAUCCAAGUUUCAUCAAAGUUUUCAAUCCAAGUUUUCAAAGUUUCAAAAACAUUAGUUAAGGUAGGUAGAGGUGCAAUGUGUUUAAUCAUGUUAAGUUAUAAGUUUUGAUUCAUACUAAUGUUUGUAUGUCAAAUGGUACUCCGAUAUGGCAUAUCCCUCUAUGUUAAUGGUUGUAUGUCAAAUGAUACUCUGGUACGGCAUACCCCUCUAUGUUGAAGAAAUGUUCGUAUGUUAAAUGGUGCCCUCGGGUACGGUAUACCCCUUCAUGUCAAAUGGUGCCUCCGGGUACGGCAUGUAUGAAAAGUUAUAAAAUUAAUAUUUUGAAAUGUAUAACUUGAUCACGAAUGCACCUAUGAUAUUUAUUGAGUUUUUCAACUCACGGAUUUAAUCUCAUCUCUACAGAUUGAAGGAAUUCUACAUCGGGCAUGGAUGGAGGAGAAGAUGGAGAGUGAUGCAACGAGCCCAUGGAAAUCCGGUGAAUAAAUGAUUUGAAUUUAUUUUUAUGAAAUGUUUUCCAAAGUUAUUUCUUUAAAGUUUUGAAUAACGCAGAAUGCGAGAACAAGUUAUGUUUUAUUCAAAUAAAUUACAUUUUGUUGUUUGAAAAAUGAUUCAG
Molecule: long non-coding RNA, 6109 nt
Filed under: Olea europaea (common olive)
Lineage: Eukaryota; Viridiplantae; Streptophyta; Magnoliopsida; Lamiales; Oleaceae
Description: long non-coding RNA (OEUR_LNC007510)
Source: RNAcentral